UGCAAGUCGAACGGCAGCACAGUAAGAGCUUGCUCUUAUGGGUGGCGAGUGGCGGACGGGUGAGGAAUACAUCGGAAUCUACUCUUUCGUGGGGGAUAACGUAGGGAAACUUACGCUAAUACCGCAUACGACCUACGGGUGAAAGCGGAGGACCUUCGGGCUUCGCGCGGUUGAAUGAGCCGAUGUCGGAUUAGCUAGUUGGCGGGGUAAAGGCCCACCAAGGCGACGAUCCGUAGCUGGUCUGAGAGGAUGAUCAGCCACACUGGAACUGAGACACGGUCCAGACUCCUACGGGAGGCAGCAGUGGGGAAUAUUGGACAAUGGGCGCAAGCCUGAUCCAGCCAUGCCGCGUGGGUGAAGAAGGCCUUCGGGUUGUAAAGCCCUUUUGUUGGGAAAGAAAAGCAGUCGGUUAAUACCCGAUUGUUCUGACGGUACCCAAAGAAUAAGCACCGGCUAACUUCGUGCCAGCAGCCGCGGUAAUACGAAGGGUGCAAGCGUUACUCGGAAUUACUGGGCGUAAAGCGUGCGUAGGUGGUGGUUUAAGUCUGUUGUGAAAGCCCUGGGCUCAACCUGGGAAUUGCAGUGGAUACUGGAUCACUAGAGUGUGGUAGAGGGUAGCGGAAUUCCCGGUGUAGCAGUGAAAUGCGUAGAGAUCGGGAGGAACAUCCGUGGCGAAGGCGGCUACCUGGACCAACACUGACACUGAGGCACGAAAGCGUGGGGAGCAAACAGGAUUAGAUACCCUGGUAGUCCACGCCCUAAACGAUGCGAACUGGAUGUUGGGUGCAAUUUGGCACGCAGUAUCGAAGCUAACGCGUUAAGUUCGCCGCCUGGGGAGUACGGUCGCAAGACUGAAACUCAAAGGAAUUGACGGGGGCCCGCACAAGCGGUGGAGUAUGUGGUUUAAUUCGAUGCAACGCGAAGAACCUUACCUGGUCUUGACAUCCACGGAACUUUCCAGAGAUGGAUUGGUGCCUUCGGGAACCGUGAGACAGGUGCUGCAUGGCUGUCUC
This 1013-nucleotide ribosomal RNA is filed under the name Xanthomonas euvesicatoria pv. citrumelonis. RNAcentral's name for it is "bacterial SSU rRNA". It matches the Rfam family "Bacterial small subunit ribosomal RNA", at positions 56 to 1055 of the family's 1533-position model. Lineage: Bacteria; Pseudomonadati; Pseudomonadota; Gammaproteobacteria; Lysobacterales; Lysobacteraceae. The record is from RNAcentral.